Molecule: small nuclear RNA, 106 nt
Organism: Tupaia belangeri (northern tree shrew)
Lineage: Eukaryota; Metazoa; Chordata; Mammalia; Scandentia; Tupaiidae
Source: Ensembl
GUGCUCUCUUUGUGGCACAUAUACUAAAACUGGAAUGAUACAGAGAAGAUUAGCAUGGCCCCUGCACAAGGAUGACACCCAAAUUCAUGACGCAUCCCACAUUUUU